This 253-nucleotide ribosomal RNA is filed under the name uncultured bacterium. Its description in RNAcentral is "partial 16S ribosomal RNA". It matches the Rfam family "Bacterial small subunit ribosomal RNA", at positions 524 to 776 of the family's 1533-position model. The record is from RNAcentral.
UACGUAGGGUGCGAGCGUUACUCGGAAUUACUGGGCGUAAAGCGUGCGUAGGUGGUGGUUUAAGUCUGCUGUGAAAGCCCUGGGCUCAACCUGGGAAUUGCAGUGGAUACUGGAUCACUAGAGUGUGGUAGAGGGAUGCGGAAUUUCUGGUGUAGCAGUGAAAUGCGUAGAGAUCAGGAGGAACACCAAUGGCGAAGGCAGCUCGCUGGGACGGUACUGACGCUGAGGCGCGAAAGCGUGGGGAGCAAACAGG